RNAcentral lists this ribosomal RNA (465 nucleotides) under uncultured Lactococcus sp. RNAcentral describes it as "bacterial SSU rRNA". It matches the Rfam family "Bacterial small subunit ribosomal RNA", at positions 338 to 795 of the family's 1533-position model. Lineage: Bacteria; Bacillati; Bacillota; Bacilli; Lactobacillales; Streptococcaceae. The record is from RNAcentral.
CCUACGGGAGGCAGCAGUAGGGAAUCUUCGGCAAUGGACGAAAGUCUGACCGAGCAACGCCGCGUGAGUGAAGAAGGUUUUCGGAUCGUAAAACUCUGUUGUUAGAGAAGAACGUUACGGAGAGUGGAAAAUUACUUAAGUGACGGUAUCUAACCAGAAAGGGACGGCUAAGUACGUGCCAGCAGCCGCGUUGAUACGUAGGUACCAAGCGGUGUCCGGAUUUAUUGGGCGAAAAGCUAGCGAAGGUGGUUUAGUAGGUCUGGUGGAAAAGGCGGUGGCUCAACCAGUGUAUGCAUUGGAAACUGGUAGACGUGAGUGCAGGAGAGGAGGGUGGAAUUCCAUGUGUAGCGGUGAAAUGCGUAGAUAUAUGGAGGAACACCGGCGGCGAAAGCGGCUCUCUGGCCUGUAACUGACACUGAGGCUCGAGAGCGUGGGGAGCAAACAGGAUUAGAUACCCUAGUAGUC